This 254-nucleotide ribosomal RNA is filed under the name uncultured bacterium. RNAcentral's name for it is "partial 16S ribosomal RNA". It matches the Rfam family "Bacterial small subunit ribosomal RNA", at positions 524 to 776 of the family's 1533-position model. The record is from RNAcentral.
UACGGAGGAUCCAAGCGUUAUCCGGAAUUACUGGGCGUAAAGAGUUGCGUAGGUGGCAUAGUAAGUCGGUAGUGAAAGCGUGGGGCUCAACCCCAUACACAUUAUCGAAACUGCUAAGCUUGAGGAUGAGAGAGGUUAUUGGAAUUCCCAGUGUAGGAGUGAAAUCCGUAGAUAUUGGGAGGAACACCGAUGGCGUAGGCAGAUAACUGGCUCAUUCCUGACACUAAGGCACGAAAGCGUGGGGAGCAAACGGG